UACGGGGGGGACGAGCGUUGUUCGGAUUUACUGGGCGUAAAGGGCGUGUAGGCGGACUUUCAAGUCGGAAGUGAAAACCGGAGGCUUAACCUCAGGCUUGCUUACGAUACUGUUGGUCUUGAGUGCAGAAGAGGAAAGCGGAAUUCCAGGUGUAGCGGUGAAAUGCGUAGAUAUCUGGAAGAACACCAGUAGCGAAGGCGGCUUUCUGGUCUGACACUGACGCUAAAGCGCGAAGGCUAGGGGAGCAAACAGG
This 253-nucleotide ribosomal RNA is filed under the name uncultured bacterium. RNAcentral's name for it is "partial 16S ribosomal RNA". It matches the Rfam family "Bacterial small subunit ribosomal RNA", at positions 524 to 776 of the family's 1533-position model. The record is from RNAcentral.